GACGAACGCUGGCGGCGUGCUUAACACAUGCAAGUCGAACGGAGCGAAUGAAAGCUUGCUUUUAUAAGCUUAGUGGCAAACGGGUGAGUAACACGUAGGCAACCUGCCGACAGGAUGGGGACAACAUUCCGAAAGGAAUGCUAAUACCGAAUGAAGCGGAGGGGAGGCAUCUCCCUUCCGUGAAAGAUGGCCUCUAUUUAUAAGCUAUCACCUGUCGAUGGGCCUGCGUCUGAUUAGCUGGUUGGUGAGGUAACGGCUCACCAAGGCGACGAUCAGUAGCCGGUCUGAGAGGAUGAACGGCCACAUUGGGACUGAGACACGGCCCAGACUCCUACGGGAGGCAGCAGUGGGGAAUCUUCCGCAAUGGGCGCAAGCCUGACGGAGCAACGCCGCGUGAGUGAAGAAGGUCUUCGGAUCGUAAAGCUCUGUUGAUGGGGACGAACGUGCCUAAUGCGAAUAGUAUUAGGUA
This 469-nucleotide ribosomal RNA is filed under the name Selenomonas sp. oral taxon F30. Its description in RNAcentral is "bacterial SSU rRNA". It matches the Rfam family "Bacterial small subunit ribosomal RNA", at positions 28 to 474 of the family's 1533-position model. The record is from RNAcentral. Lineage: Bacteria; Bacillati; Bacillota; Negativicutes; Selenomonadales; Selenomonadaceae.